Molecule: long non-coding RNA, 103 nt
Organism: Salarias fasciatus (jewelled blenny)
Lineage: Eukaryota; Metazoa; Chordata; Actinopteri; Blenniiformes; Blenniidae
Exons: 3
Source: RefSeq, a predicted model, not a curated record
UCAUACUGUGAAGAUUACCAGCCCUAGUUAGUGUUAGUCUGCAGACAGAGCUGCUGGGGCGGCGUGGCGCUCUGAGGCCGGGCUUUUUCACAACACUUUCUCC